AGAGUUUGAUCAUGGCUCAGAACGAACGCUGGCGGCGUGCCUAACACAUGCAAGUCGAACGGAUAUUUUGUAGCAAUACAGAAUAUCAGUGGCGCACGGGUGAGUAACACGUGGAUAAUCUGCCUCCGAGUUCGGGACAACCUGCCGAAAGGCGGGCUAAUACCGGAUGAGACCACGGUUCCUUCGGGAACUGAGGUCAAAGGUGGCCUCUAUUUAUAAGCUAUCGCUUGGAGAUGAGUCCGCGGCCCAUCAGCUAGUUGGUAGGGUAAUGGCCUACCAAGGCUAUGACGGGUAGCUGGUCUGAGAGGACGACCAGCCACACUGGAACUGAGACACGGUCCAGACUCCUACGGGAGGCAGCAGUGGGGAAUAUUGCGCAAUGGGGGAAACCCUGACGCAGCAACGCCGCGUGGGUGAUGAAGGCUUUCGGGUCGUAAAGCCCUGUCAGCGGGGAAGAAACUUCUGGAUUCUAACAGGAUCCAGGAUUGACUGUACCUGCGGAGGAAGCACCGGCUAACUCCGUGCCAGCAGCCGCGGUAAAACGGAGGGUGCAAGCGUUGUUCGGAAUUACUGGGCGUAAAGCGCGUGCAGGUGGUCUUCUAAGUUUCGUGUGAAAUCCCCCGGCUUAACUGGGGAACGGCGCGGAAAACUGGAAGACUUGAGUACGGGAGAAGAGGGCGGAAUUCCCAGUGUAGAGGUGAAAUUCGUAGAUAUUGGGAGGAACACCGGCGGCGAAAGCGGCUCUCUAGACCGAUACUGACACUCAUACGCGAGAGCGUGGGGAGCAAACAGGAUUAGAUACCCUGGUAGUCCACGCUGUAAACGAU
RNAcentral lists this ribosomal RNA (827 nucleotides) under uncultured bacterium. Its description in RNAcentral is "bacterial SSU rRNA". It matches the Rfam family "Bacterial small subunit ribosomal RNA", at positions 8 to 810 of the family's 1533-position model. The record is from RNAcentral.